GAACGCUGGCGGCGUGCUUAACACAUGCAAGUCGAACGAUGAUCCCAGCUUGCUGGGGGAUUAGUGGCGAACGGGUGAGUAACACGUGAGUAACCUGCCCUUGACUCUGGGAUAAGCCUGGGAAACUGGGUCUAAUACCGGAUAUGACUCCUCAUCGCAUGGUGGGGGGUGGAAAGCUUUUGUGGUUUUGGAUGGACUCGCGGCCUAUCAGCUUGUUGGUGGGGUAAUGGCCUACCAAGGCGACGACGGGUAGCCGGCCUGAGAGGGUGACCGGCCACACUGGGACUGAGACACGGCCCAGACUCCUACGGGAGGCAGCAGUGGGGAAUAUUGCACAAUGGGCGCAAGCCUGAUGCAGCGACGCCGCGUGAGGGAUGACGGCCUUCGGGUUGUAAACCUCUUUCAGUAGGGAAGAAGCGUAAGUGACGGUACCUGCAGAAGAAGCGCCGGCUAACUACGUGCCAGCAGCCGCGGUAAUACGUAGGGCGCAAGCGUUAUCCGGAAUUAUUGGGCGUAAAGAGCUCGUAGGCGGUUUGUCGCGUCUGCUGUGAAAGACCGGGGCUCAACUCCGGUUCUGCAGUGGGUACGGGCAGACUAGAGUGCAGUAGGGGAGACUGGAAUUCCUGGUGUAGCGGUGAAAUGCGCAGAUAUCAGGAGGAACACCGAUGGCGAAGGCAGGUCUCUGGGCUGUAACUGACGCUGAGGAGCGAAAGCAUGGGGAGCGAACAGGAUUAGAUACCCUGGUAGUCCAUGCCGUAAACGUUGGGCACUAGGUGUGGGGGACAUUCCACGUUUUCCGCGCCGUAGCUAACGCAUUAAGUGCCCCGCCUGGGGAGUACGGCC
Molecule: ribosomal RNA, 843 nt
Filed under: bacterium PSB-1-14
Lineage: Bacteria
Description: bacterial SSU rRNA
Rfam family: Bacterial small subunit ribosomal RNA
Source: RNAcentral